CGUCAAAGUGGUGGUGAUUUGUUGUGGAUAAGCUCAUAUCACAGCCAGCUUUGAUGUG
This 58-nucleotide microRNA precursor is filed under the name Ascaris suum (pig roundworm). RNAcentral's name for it is "Asu-Mir-2-o7a_pre stem-loop". It matches the Rfam family "mir-2 microRNA precursor family", at positions 6 to 67 of the family's 72-position model. Rfam says of the family: The miRNAs are transcribed as ~70nt precursors (modelled here) and subsequently processed by the Dicer enzyme to give a ~22nt product. In this case the mature sequence comes from the 3' arm of the precursor. Lineage: Eukaryota; Metazoa; Nematoda; Chromadorea; Rhabditida; Ascarididae. The record is from RNAcentral.